RNAcentral lists this ribosomal RNA (253 nucleotides) under uncultured bacterium. RNAcentral describes it as "partial 16S ribosomal RNA". It matches the Rfam family "Bacterial small subunit ribosomal RNA", at positions 524 to 776 of the family's 1533-position model. The record is from RNAcentral.
UACGGGGGGGGCAAGCGUUGUUCGGAAUUACUGGGCGUAAAGGGUGCGUAGGCGGGCAGGUAAGUCAGUGGUGAAAUCUCCGGGCUUAACCCGGAAACUGCCGUUGAUACUAUCUGUCUUGAAUAUCGUGGAGGUAAGCGGAAUAUGUCAUGUAGCGGUGAAAUGCUUAGAUAUGACAUAGAACACCGAUUGCGAAGGCAGCUUACUACACGAUCAUUGACGCUGAGGCACGAAAGCGUGGGGAGCAAGCAGG